AGUGAACGCUGGCGGUAGGCCUAACACACGCAAGUCGAACGGCAGCACAGUAAGAGCUUGCUCUUACGGGUGGCGAGUGGCGGACGGGUGAGGAAUACAUCGGAAUCUACUUUUUCGUGGGGGAUAACGUAGGGAAACUUACGCUAAUACCGCAUACGACCUACGGGUGAAAGCAGGGGAUCUUCGGACCUUGCGCGAUUGAAUGAGCCGAUGUCGGAUUAGCUAGUUGGCGGGGUAAAGGCCCACCAAGGCGACGAUCCGUAGCUGGUCUGAGAGGAUGAUCGGCCACACUGGAACUGAGACACGGUCCAGACUCCUACGGGAGGCAGCAGUGGGGAAUAUUGGACAAUGGGCGCAAGCCUAAUCCAGCCAGACCGCGUGGGUGAAGAAGGCCUUCGGGUUGUAAAGCCCUUUUGUUGGGAAAGAAAAGCAGCAGGUUAAUACCCCGCUGUUCUGACGGUACCCAAAGAAUAAGCACCGGCUAACUUCGUG
Molecule: ribosomal RNA, 492 nt
Filed under: uncultured bacterium
Lineage: Bacteria
Description: partial 16S ribosomal RNA
Rfam family: Bacterial small subunit ribosomal RNA
Source: RNAcentral